UACGUAGGGUGCGAGCGUUAAUCGGAAUUACUGGGCGUAAAGCGUGCGCAGGCGGCGCGUUAAGACAGGUGUGAAAUCUCCGAGCUUAACUCGGAAAGGUCAACUGAUACUGCGCGGCUAGAGUGCAGAAGGGGCAACUGGAAUUCUCGGUGUAGCGGUGAAAUGCGUAGAUAUCGAGAGGAACACCUGCGGCGAAGGCGGGUUGCUGGGCUGACACUGACGCUGAUGCGCGAAAGCCAGGGGAGCGAACGGG
RNAcentral lists this ribosomal RNA (253 nucleotides) under uncultured bacterium. RNAcentral describes it as "partial 16S ribosomal RNA". It matches the Rfam family "Bacterial small subunit ribosomal RNA", at positions 524 to 776 of the family's 1533-position model. The record is from RNAcentral.